Molecule: ribosomal RNA, 377 nt
Filed under: uncultured bacterium
Lineage: Bacteria
Description: bacterial SSU rRNA
Rfam family: Bacterial small subunit ribosomal RNA
Source: RNAcentral
UAAAACGUAGGGGACGAGCGUUAUCCGGAUUUACUGGGCGUAAAGAGCCCGUAGGCAGCAAGCUAAGUUGGAUGUGAAAGCUCCUGGCUUAACUGGGAGAGGUCAUUCAAAACUGACGAGCUAGAGUACGGAAGAGGAGAGCGGAAUUCCCGGUGUAGUGGUGGAAUGCGUAGAUAUCGGGAGGAACACCAGUGGCGAAAGCGGCUCUCUGGUCCGAAACUGACGCUGAGGGGCGAAAGCGUGGGGAGCGAACGGGAUUAGAUACCCCGGUAGUCCACGCUGUAAACGAUGGAUACUAGGUGUAGGCGGAUAGAAACCCGACUGUGCCGAAGCUAACGCGUUAAGUAUCCCGCCUGGGGAGUACGGCCGCAAGGUUA